Molecule: ribosomal RNA, 468 nt
Filed under: uncultured bacterium
Lineage: Bacteria
Description: partial 16S ribosomal RNA
Rfam family: Bacterial small subunit ribosomal RNA
Source: RNAcentral
GACGAACGCUGGCGGCGUGCUUAACACAUGCAAGUCGAACGGAAAGGCCCUGCUUUUGUGCGGUGCUCGAGUGGCGAACGGGUGAGUAACACGUGAGUAACCUGCCCUUGACUUUGGGAUAACUUCAGGAAACUGGGGCUAAUACCGGAUAGGAGCUCCUGCUGCAUGGUGGGGGUUGGAAAGUUUCGGCGGUUGGGGAUGGACGCGCGGCUUAUCAGCUUGUUGGUGGGGUAGUGGCUUACCAAGGCUUUGACGGGUAGCCGGCCUGAGAGGGUGACCGGGGACAUUGGGACUGAGAUACGGCCCAGACUCCAACGGGAGGCAGCAGUGGGAAAUAUUGCACAAUGGGAGGAAGCCUGAUGCAGCAACGCCGGGUGCGGGAUGACGGCCUUCGGGUUGUAAACCGCUUUCGCCUGUGACGAAGCGUGAGUGACGGUAAUGGGUAAAGAAGCACCGGCUAACUACGUG